This 465-nucleotide ribosomal RNA is filed under the name uncultured bacterium. RNAcentral describes it as "partial 16S ribosomal RNA". It matches the Rfam family "Bacterial small subunit ribosomal RNA", at positions 28 to 507 of the family's 1533-position model. The record is from RNAcentral.
GACGAACGCUGGCGGCGUGCUUAACACAUGCAAGUCGAACGGUAAGGCCCUUUCGGGGGUACACGAGCGGCGGACGGGCGAGUAACACGUGAGCAACCUGCCCUUGUCUCUGGAAUAACAGUUUGAAACAGCUGCUAAUACUGGAAAUUUAUCGUCUCCUUCCUGGGGGGUGGUGGAAGGCUCGGGCGGUCCGGGAUGGGCGCGCGGCCUAUCAGCUUGUUGGUGAGGUAAUGGCUCACCAAGGCUUCGACGGGUAGCCGGCCUGAGAGGGCGACCGGCCACACGGGGACUGAGAUACGGCCCAGACUCCGACGGGAGGCAGCAGUGGGGAACAUUGCACAAUGGGCGCAAGCCUGAUGCAGCAACGACGGGUGCGGGAUGUGGGCCUUCGGGUUGUAAACCGCUUUCAGUAGGGACGAAGGGUGACUGACGGUACCAGCAGAAGAAGGACCGGCUAACUACGUG